Molecule: ribosomal RNA, 253 nt
Filed under: uncultured bacterium
Lineage: Bacteria
Description: partial 16S ribosomal RNA
Rfam family: Bacterial small subunit ribosomal RNA
Source: RNAcentral
UACGAAGGGGGCUAGCGUUGCUCGGAAUCACUGGGCGUAAAGCGCACGUAGGCAGAUUGCUAAGUCAGGGGUGAAAUCCUGGAGCUCAACUCCAGAACUGCCUUUGAUACUGAAGAUCUUGAGUUCGGGAGAGGUGAGUGGAACUGCGAGUGUAGAGGUGAAAUUCGUAGAUAUUCGCAAGAACACCAGUGGCGAAGGCGGCUCACUGGCCCGAUACUGACGCUGAGGCACGAAAGCGUGGGGAGCAAACAGG